CUCGGCGCACUUAAGGGACUCUUAUCUAAGUAUAAAUAAGACGUCAAUAUGUAGGUGACAAUUUAUUGCUUGACACAGGUUGUCAAUGGUUCACAAUGGUUGUCAAAGGUUCACAGAUGUCAAAAUACUCCAGGUAUAUAAAGCCAGGGAAAAAAAUCUGGACACCGCGGUACAGCUUUACGCGUCUCAAAGUACAGUGACAUCUCUCGGCAAAUAAUACAAACAAGUUUCAUGGAAGGUUUAUACAUAUCGCCCACCAAGGACCUUCCUAGGUCCUUAACAACAGGAAAAUCGAAAUAAA
This is a long non-coding RNA of Ostrinia furnacalis (Asian corn borer), 301 nucleotides long. RefSeq lists it as uncharacterized. The transcript is spliced from 2 exons. Lineage: Eukaryota; Metazoa; Arthropoda; Insecta; Lepidoptera; Crambidae. The record is from RefSeq and is a predicted model, not a curated record.